RNAcentral lists this long non-coding RNA (1474 nucleotides) under Homo sapiens (human). Lineage: Eukaryota; Metazoa; Chordata; Mammalia; Primates; Hominidae. The record is from RNAcentral.
GGCAGAUGUGCUGCGGCUCUGCUACGGGCGGCUCUGUCGCCUUCAGUCGCAGGCUGGUUCUUUGGGGGAAAGUUGUAUCCAAUAUUGGUGACUCCCGGGAAUAGUCUGUUUGUGUGCUACUUAAUGGUCUCUAGGCUUCCUUGUCUUGUAGAACCUUGUUAGAAAGGAGCCUUGGUGAUUAAGAGGCUAUGGAGUACACAGCCUUGCUUAGCAGAUGAGCCCUUAUCCAUUUCCCGUUUCCUUAAAAACGGCUAAUUGAUGGAUGCUGCAGAAAACAUGCACUCUGCUAAUAAGAUGCUGAUGACAAAAUAGGUAUCAGGAAAGGCAUUUACUGCUUAUGAGCACCAUCAGCUUUCUUUCGAGUGAGAUUGUGGCUUUGUAGUAAAGUUUUUUUUUAAGUAAUAUGCUAAUAGUUUUAUUCUAAAUCGGCCAGCGCUGAAUAUCUUCAGGAAAAUGGGUUCCAUGAGAAGUGACAUCCUCCUCGAAUCAAAAGAUUCUCAGGAUGAUGGAGUGAGUGAUGGAAUAGGUUGCCAACUGUAGUUACUCCACUCAGCACAGAAUGGCUGCGGGGAAAUAUAAUCAGACAUGCCCAAAGAAGUCUGCUUAGGGUGAAACAAAUACCUUUGAGGUUUAAAUCAGCAUUCCAUCCGUGCAGGCAGAUGGUGUUCCUAGGUUUGGAAAUAUAAAUCCCAUGGGAAGUCAGCUGAAGACCAUUUUAUGCAUCACUCAUCCUGUUAGAGCCCUGUGCUGUUCUGUCUCUCUAUAAGACUGGCUGAAACCACCACGGUUGUUUACAAUUUAUGCUCUAACUUUGGAUCACCUAGUUAAUACUCUAACUCCGAUUAUUACCAAAGACAAUGUUCUAUAAAAGAUAUUGUCUAUUAGAAGGAUGCUUCUGCAUUAUUAAUAAAAUCACAGGGAAAAUGCAACAUUUUGGAUGUCACAUCUGAUAAGUGGGUGACUGAUCGUACCCGCCAGCUGGCUAAUGUCAUAAUUAACAAAGUUGCUACUACAUCUGCAAAGUUUAAUCGAAAAAUUUGCCAGUGAUAUGAUGGCCUUGUCACAGAGAUCACAAGGGACACGGAGUUGACUUUUGCUCAAGGUGGAACGACAGAGCUGUGUAGGCAAGAUGAGAAAUUGCGAACUUGUUCGGCCAAAGGAGGCUAAUAAUGAAGGGGCCGGGAAGGAGGCCAGUGCUACCAGGGUUAUCUCACAACCUCAGAUGCUGGAUAAGUCGACGGAGGCAGAAUCGCUUUGGGAUGACAUUCAGAAAGCCUGGAGUGAUUACUUGCAAGAGAAAAGCCUACCUAUUCUUUCCAAGGUGCAGGAAUAUUCCCCUGACCUGCUCAUCCAGUGGUCCAGUAAUGAAUUACUGGAGACCUGCCUUAGACAAAGAAUGCACUCGGAGCCCCAACACACCUAAAGCCAUGCUUUGAAGGAUCUGCCAAGCUCACUUUUAAUCAUGAGAAAGAAA